GGAGGAGUACAGAUAAUUGGUAAUCUACCACUCUUGAAAAGUGGCGUCCGUAAGGACUUGCGAGUUCGAGUCUCGCCUCCUCCG
RNAcentral lists this transfer RNA (84 nucleotides) under Patescibacteria group bacterium. Its description in RNAcentral is "tRNA-Ser". It matches the Rfam family "tRNA". From Rfam's summary of the family: Transfer RNA (tRNA) molecules are approximately 80 nucleotides in length. Their secondary structure includes four short double-helical elements and three loops (D, anti-codon, and T loops). Further hydrogen bonds mediate the characteristic L-shaped molecular structure. tRNAs have two regions of fundamental functional importance: the anti-codon, which is responsible for specific mRNA codon recognition, and the 3' end, to which the tRNAs corresponding amino acid is attached (by aminoacyl-tRNA synthetases). tRNAs cope with the degeneracy of the genetic code in two manners: having more than one tRNA (with a specific anti-codon) for a particular amino acid; and 'wobble' base-pairing, i.e. permitting non-standard base-pairing at the 3rd anti-codon position. The record is from RNAcentral.